RNAcentral lists this ribosomal RNA (247 nucleotides) under uncultured bacterium. Its description in RNAcentral is "partial 16S ribosomal RNA". It matches the Rfam family "Bacterial small subunit ribosomal RNA", at positions 523 to 769 of the family's 1533-position model. The record is from RNAcentral.
AUACGGAAGGUCCAGGCGUUAUCCGGAUUUAUUGGGUUUAAAGGGAGCGUAGGCCGCUUGGUAAGCGGGCAGUGAAAUGCAGAGGCUCAACCUCUGACUUGCUGUUCGAACUGCCGGGCUUGAGUACGCACGAGGUAGGCGGAAUUUGUGGUGUAGCGGUGAAAUGCUUAGAUAUCACAAAGAACUCCAAUUGCGAAGGCAGCUUACCGGAGCGCAACUGACGCUGAAGCUCGAAAGUGCAGGUAUC